This 285-nucleotide unclassified non-coding RNA is filed under the name Hevea brasiliensis (rubber tree). The record is from RNAcentral. Lineage: Eukaryota; Viridiplantae; Streptophyta; Magnoliopsida; Malpighiales; Euphorbiaceae.
AGCCGAUCCAGUCCACUGUCAGCAUCUCCCUGGGCCCGAAUGAAACCACAGAGAGCAAAAGUGGAAAAUUGGCCGGUGUAGAUGCCAUUCUCAUCCAAAUGCCCAAUGUUGAUCUGGACAGAAGCAUGGUCCUUGGAAGUAAUCAGCCGGUUCGUUGCGGAGCAUUUUCUGGGAAUAUAAAGCUCUGUGAUUUUACCCUCUUCGUUCUGCAUCUUGAAGUGUAUCAACUAAUACUUUAGAACUAGAAAACCGCAAGCGCACCAGAGGAAACGAACUAUCCGAAAG